RNAcentral lists this long non-coding RNA (1282 nucleotides) under Oryza sativa Indica Group (long-grained rice). RNAcentral describes it as "lncRNA OsMH63_08G015040". The record is from RNAcentral. Lineage: Eukaryota; Viridiplantae; Streptophyta; Magnoliopsida; Poales; Poaceae.
CUACUUAAAAAUUCCGUAGUGGUAGCGGUGACUCCAAUCCUGAUAGACACGCGUAAUACUAAACGUAGGAUCGUGAAAUCCAAUGGCUCAGAUCGCUUCCGCAAUGCUCUGAUCCUGCCGAGUGCAGACGCGCACGCGUUCCCCUCUCUCCCGAGCGGUGCCUUUGAUCCUUCUUCCUCCUCGAUACCCUCCGUAUCAACAGCGGUCACCGAUCCAUCGUCCAGACGCCGCCGCCUUCAUCCUCCUUCCUCCCCAUCCCCCAUCCCCCAGCGCCCGCAUUCCACCUCCCCCUGCGGACGGCUUCUCCACCGCGCCGGCGCCGGAUCGGCGAGGCGGGAGCACGUGGCCGCGGGAAGAGCAGCAACCGGUCACCCCGCCGCCGCAGAACGAGGUCGCCUGGACGGCCGCCGCCGAGGCCUCCCGCUCCUCCAUCAUGUUCGGGUCGGCGGGCAGGCCGUGCUACAUGUUCUAUGCUUCACCGGCAAUGGCGGCCAAGCAGGUCCUUUUGUGAAUAUAACUAAUGUGAUUAAUGCCAAGUUGACAAACAAGCGUGCCGCGCGGUUAUCCCAAGUGAAAUCAAUGUUCCAAAAGACCGUGAGAACUGUCAACAGAUCAACAAGAACUCUACAUCUAAGAUUCAGAGAACCUCAACUAUUGGAUUUGGCUAUGAAAAUAACGCUUCUGUCAUUAGGCAUGUGCAGCUACCAUGUACAGACAAAGCUGAACUGUCGUACGGUACACCCAACAUGCAUGAAGAUGUUACUAAUCCCAGUACGGCUGAACUAAAAAGGAAGUGUGCUAGAGAGAGGUACCCAUUAUUGACAAAAGAGUUAAAGGAAGAUAGAAACAAGAAGAGACGUGAUUCCAGAAAGCGGAGGAAGGAUGAAUCAAUUGGUUUUUAUAAAUUAACACAUCUAUUGUUAUCAAAAUUUGGACUUUUUGAACACAACACCUUAUUAUUAUUGAAUUAAUUCAACCCUUUCAUAUCAUGGAUCUCAAGAUUCCACGACCAAAAUGGCUACUCCUACGUCCUCGUCUGUUUCAGGUUGAUGUGUAAUAUUUCACAUGUAGAAAUUUGUUAGGUGUUUUGUACCAAAUACGUUCUAAUCUAUUUGGAUAUGAGCAGCCCCGCUUGGAGAUAUUACAAAUGUACGUGUUGACUGCUUGCUUCUGGUAGUUUAACAAAUUUUCACUCAAUUUCUUUAAACUUAAUAAAAUUUCCCGUUGCAACGCACGGGCAUCUUACUUGUAUUUAUUUAAUCUGAAUUUCGUGGUAGUACUU